This 253-nucleotide ribosomal RNA is filed under the name uncultured prokaryote. RNAcentral describes it as "partial 16S ribosomal RNA". It matches the Rfam family "Bacterial small subunit ribosomal RNA", at positions 524 to 776 of the family's 1533-position model. The record is from RNAcentral.
UACGUAGGCAGCAAGCGUUGUUCGGAGUUACUGGGCGUAAAGAGUGCGUAGGUGGUGCCCUAAGUCUGUUGUGAAAUCUCCCGGCUUAACUGGGAGGGUGCGGUGGAAACUGGGGUGCUUGAGUGUGGGAGAGGUAAGCGGAAUUCCUGGUGUAGCGGUGAAAUGCGUAGAUAUCGGGAGGAACACCUGUGGCGAAAGCGGCUCACUGGACCACAACUGACGCUGAUGCACGAAAGCUAGGGGAGCAAACAGG